Non-coding RNA from Pelobates cultripes (western spadefoot toad), 1062 nucleotides. Lineage: Eukaryota; Metazoa; Chordata; Amphibia; Anura; Pelobatidae. The record is from the annotation of a GenBank genome assembly.
UGUUGCUUUAAGUAAUUGCAAUUAUUAUUUUAAUUUUAAUUUUUUUUAUUUAACUUUUUUUUCUUUAUUUUCUUUAAGGAGUCGCUGGAGACUGGAAGAAUCAUUUCACUGUAGCUCAGAAUGAAUAUUUUGAUAGAAUUUAUCAGGAAAAAAUGAAAGACUUCAACAUUAAACUUUUUUGGGGAGAACAUAAAUAAACUUUGUGAACAAAGGUGAAUCAGUGAGUCUUAAGAGAACAUGUUUAAGGGGCCUCUUGUAAAUUAUGACAGUUAUUUAAAUAAGCCACACUAGGGAUUUAAUUCACUAAACAGUUAAUUGUGGUGAAUAAGAAACAAUGUUAUCUUCUUUCUAUUUAGUACAUAUAGUUCUUGGUGGUGAAUUACCAUAUAUUCUUAUUUUUAAUUUAAGUAAUAUAACAUUAUGAUAAAGUUGUCUCUUAUCUGAAUCUGUUCUGUCUUCUGAUCCCUGUGAGCGAGACAACACAGUGUAAAGUUCAAGGAGCUUCUGAUGUUUAAUAGGUGGUACAACAGAGUGUAUUCAAGAGUAAACAUGGGUGGUCUUAUGAGCAUUAUCCAAUAAAAACAAUUUGUCUAUCUUAUCUUAACAUAAGAUAGCUUGCAGGUGUAAUGGGGGUGGAGUAAUUUGCGCAGCUAGAAAUAGAUAACUAACUACGCAGUUAGUAAUACAGAAGAAGAAAACAGGAAAUAAGAGCAACACCCUGAGAUAGGAAAGUUUAUAGCUCUGUGUUUAGGGGUAUAUUAACUAAGCGUUAUAUAGAUAAAGUGUAUUAUUCCCAUCAGUUGACUAGAAUAUAAUUUAGCUAGUCGCUGCAGUUGUUCUCUCCAUGUGCAACAAUUAUAUCUGCAAUCAUUUUAUUAUACUUAACAUGUUAUUUCUUGACUUGUUUUAUUUGUAUUCAUCACACUGUAACAAAAAUAUUAACUGUACAUUUAAAAAUGUAAGCUGAAAAUCUACAGAAUGAUUGAUCAAAUUAUAUAUAAAUCUGUGAAAAUGAUAACAAACUGUGUGAAAGAGGCCUAAAUAAAAUGAAAAUAACUAUUG